AUGGGAAACAGGUUAAUAUUCCUGUACUUGGUGUUACUGCGAAGGGGGGACGGAGAAGGCUAUGUUAGCCGGGCGACGGUUGUCCCGGUUUAAGCAUGUAGGCUGGUUAUCCAGGCAAAUCCGGAUAACCAAGGCUGAGGUGUGAUGACGAGGCACUACGGUGCUGAAGUAACAAAUGCCCUGCUUCCAGGAAAAGCCUCUAAGCAUCAGGUAACAUCAAAUCGUACCCCAAACCGACACAGGUGGUCAGGUAGAGA
This 257-nucleotide ribosomal RNA is filed under the name Klebsiella pneumoniae. RNAcentral describes it as "partial 23S ribosomal RNA". It matches the Rfam family "Bacterial large subunit ribosomal RNA", at positions 1418 to 1677 of the family's 2925-position model. The record is from RNAcentral. Lineage: Bacteria; Pseudomonadati; Pseudomonadota; Gammaproteobacteria; Enterobacterales; Enterobacteriaceae.